AAGAUUUUAAACAUAAAGCCGCUAACUUUAUCUAUCGUAUUCUAUGAAAAUCUUU
RNAcentral lists this transfer RNA (55 nucleotides) under Thulinius sp. DVL-2010. RNAcentral's name for it is "tRNA-Ser". The record is from RNAcentral. Lineage: Eukaryota; Metazoa; Tardigrada; Eutardigrada; Parachela; Doryphoribiidae.